UCCCUCAUUAAUUGAGGUGGCAGAUCAAGUGGACACAAACGCGCGUUCCACAAUAGACCUAAGUCAAUGCGCUGCAGGGAUGGUAAUUAAAACCAACGCGUGAGAUUAAAACAUUUCAAAUGAGAUCAAUGGCUCAGAACCUGUCCAGCACAUCACCGGCGCUGGACCUCUGGUCACCUUCUCAGGCGAGGUUCACCGGACUGAUU
RNAcentral lists this long non-coding RNA (206 nucleotides) under Lathyrus oleraceus (garden pea). RNAcentral's name for it is "Pisum sativum (pea) long non-coding RNA (PSAT_LNC019130)". Lineage: Eukaryota; Viridiplantae; Streptophyta; Magnoliopsida; Fabales; Fabaceae. The record is from RNAcentral.